RNAcentral lists this long non-coding RNA (6203 nucleotides) under Sus scrofa (pig). Its description in RNAcentral is "lncRNA (ENSSSCG00060052751.1)". Lineage: Eukaryota; Metazoa; Chordata; Mammalia; Artiodactyla; Suidae. The record is from RNAcentral.
CAGAUUCACACUUUGCUUAAAGAUGGAGCUAGUUAGCCAAAUAUUUAUGAAAACAUUUUGUCCUUCAGGGCUAAGGCACUAAAUAGUGUACAUGCUAACAAUACAGAUGCUACCAGGAUAGGGACUAGGGCCCCCUCUGAGUUUAUGAAAAUUUUUAUAGCCUUAUUCCAGGUGCUGUGAUAGACUCACACUUGGUCUCUCUGGGGAAUUUAGUCAGUGGCAAACAAGAUAUAGAGGCUUUAGUGCUCCUAGUUAUCUCUGGCAUAACCCCAGCUCCCAGAGACUUGUUUAAAUUUAUGGAUCAUCUCAAUGUCCAAAGCAUACUGCCUUUUUAUUUGCAAAUGCUCCAGAUAUAAGUUGGUAUGAGUAGCAAAUGUCGAUUUCUUAAAGACUUGAGUUUACUUUAGAGUCAUAGUCAUGAAACGUGAAUUCAAAUAUUUUUCAUUUCUAGAAGUCUUGCUAUAAUCUCUCUAUCAGGAAUUUCUCAUUGGUUACCUUUCACCAGCCCCUCUAGUAUUCUUAGUUUGCUUGGCCUUGACUCUCUUCUUUGACUGUUUAACCUCCCCUCUCCUCUCCAGCUGCUUACUUUGCCCCUCACCCUACUCCACCCCAAUAUCCGCUAACUCCCUAUAAAGGACAGGUUAAUUCUCUGUUUCUCUAACUCUUUCCAGACUGUAACUAUUGGGGCCUCAAUUCCUACAAUGAAAGUGGUCUAUCAAGUUAUUUUCCUACAGGAAGACAGCUAUUUUUAUAAGAAGAACUAAGAUGUUAGCUAUUAAAAUCACAUUUUAAAAUCAAACUCUAUACACAUAUCCAUCCCACAAGCAUUUAUUCAAUACUGUAGCUCAGGAACCAUGCCAGGUGCUGACAAUAAGACAAGUUGCCUACUAUACCAGUUAUUAAACUAGUGUUUCUCAUCUCCAAACCCAUCCUUCCUAAUUUGCUCUCAGGUGCUGGCGCUGGAACUUUACAAACCACAUUUCUGCUUUGCCAGCUGGCUAUAUAUAUUUUAUAUAUUGAGUCUGGUAAUAUGGGGGCUCUAGUGGGAGUUAACAAAAGUGAACAUAGAAGAAGGGAUUUGCUCCUUCCUGUUUGUUUCCUUUGGGGCUCCCUUUCUGCUUGGGAUUCCUGGAAGCAUCAUGCAGGCAAAGCUUCUUCAUCCUGCAGUCCCUUUCUAUAGCAGCAUUUGAAUUAGGUGGAAGUUUUUUCAACACUUGAAAAACCAGCCCAAUCACAGUCCAUCUCAGAGAUACCAGCACCGGUCAGCAGGUUCCCCCUGAGGCCUGAGGUUUCCCUCUAAGGAUGUAAGUUAAUAAUUCCAACUUCUGCCCUUGGUACUCUCCUCCCUAAGGAUGGAAGCUGCUUUCUGCAUUGCCGCAGUCUGGGAUAUCUUAGAGCUUUCUUUUUACCAUUUCAGUUAUUAACCUCUUUACACCUAGCUAACAAUUCUUUAUAGUAAAUUUUGCCCCUAAAAACAAUUGGAGUGGUUUCUGUCUUCUGACUGAACUUUAAUACACCUGCCAUCAAGGAUCAGAAAGUCUGAAGCAGAAGAUUAUCUCCUCUGACAAAGGAGUGUACAAAGUAAGCAUAGGGGAGUAUGAAAGAGAAUGUUAAGGUUCAAACAUAUAAUGCAAAAUGGGAUGCAUAAAAAAAAUAAAAAAGGAGUUCCCACUGUGGCACAACAGGAUCUGUAGUGCCUUGGGAGCACACUGGGACGCAGGUUUGAUCCCUGGUCCGGCACAGUGGGUUAAGGAUCCUGUGUUGCUGCAGCUGUGUCUUAGGUUGCAACUGCGGCUUGGAUCUGAUUCCUGGCUUCAGAACUCCAUAUGCUGCAGGUGGCCAAAAAUGAAAUAAAAGAAAAAAAAGAAUGUAUAGGUGUGGAAAUGCUAAUACAUACCAACCAAAAAAACACUAAAACUUUUUUCAGCUUUGCAGAUAAUAAAACAUACUAUUUUAAAAAGCUGUUAAAGCAUGUAUUUAUAGUAGCUUGACUUUGUGUUCUCUCUGCAUGACAUUAUUGUAACAUGGAUUUGAAAAGCUGUGUUGCUUUGCAGAUAGCUUCUGCAAUCUCAGUGUCACAGAACUUUCCAGGUGCUAAUUCCCCAAGCUGAGGCUAUUCCAGACCACACUGUUUUGGCCUUCACCCCCUAAGAAUCAAUAAACAAACAGUAUUCAAUUCUCCCUAGGAAGGUAGAAGACUAGAGAGCAAAGUGAUAAAAAAUGAAAAGAACCAACCAACCAAACAACAACAACAAGAAAACCUUCAACUGGGAACAAGGCAACCAAUCAAAUAAGUCAAAGGUAAAUAGGAUGUUUUACAAAUCUGACAUUUCUACUCAUGGACGUAAUAUGAGGAUGUUAAAACUUUUAAACUACAUGCAAUAAUAAAAGCUUAUUAUUGAGAUUUUGCUUUACAUCCUAAAUCUCAUGUAACUUUACAAGAGCUCUUUAACUUAGGUGUUUCUAUUAUCUUCAUAUUACAGAUGAGAGAGCUGAGGUGCAGUCUGCCUAAGGAACUUGCCUGAGACCAUGUAACCUGUAAGUGGAGGGUGGGAAUAAGAACUCAGGCUCAAAUGAACCAGAGUCAGAGUUCUCCAGUGGAGGGAUCCUGGCUCAUCUUUAGUUCCUUAAGAGCAUUAUUAAACAAACAAAAAAUGAAAAAACAAUAGCAGGUUAGAAUUAAUACACUUCGGGACUUCUAUUGUUUCCUAUCAGGGCAGCAAAGACUUAUUGAGAAAUGGUAGUUUUGACAGUACUUAACAAACCAAAUAUUUAAUGAAGAAGCUUAAGACAAAUUUGUAUACUAUGGGGUCCAUGUAAGAUUUAUUUUGAUGUCAGAGACCAAGUUGACCCACUACAUAUUAUUUUGCUGAUUUGAAAUUAAUAUUUGUGGAAACUUUUUCAAAGUUUCUAAAAGUUAUUUACCUUUCUCAUCUUUGCAGCUCCACUGCCUAGUACAAUACCUGCUCAUGGUAAGUUCUUAAUAAAGAUUUGUUGAAGGGAAAGAAGAAUUUAGUUAAUACAUACCUCCAUCCAGAUUCAACAAAUAUUCAAAUGUGUAGACCGGCCUCCUAAAUGCUUAAAGAAAAAAAAAACUUAGAUAACUAUAUUCUAUUUAGCUUAAAUGACUUCAAGAGAGACAGAGAUUCAGCUGCUUUGCCAAAGUCAUUUAGCUAGUUUGUUAUGGAGCCAGGACUGGGCCUCAGAACAAGCUCAAGCCCAGCUCUUAUCCACAGUGUUAAACUGCUUUGAAAAUUUUCUUAAUUCUUUGUUUCACAUCUGUGAAACCGGACAAAUAAUAUCUAUCUAAAUAGGUUUAAUUUAACCAAUAAAUAAAAUCAAUAUAUUGACAAUUAAAAUUGAAAUUCAUAUUUUCAAAAACCAAUUGAGAGAUGUUUCCUAGUACUUGGAGACAGAUUGAAAAACUAAAAAAUUAAUAUGAUUCAGUAAAGGAGACCAGCUGAAAAGAGGAAAUUGUUUUGGACAAAAUCUUUAAAAAACCUAAUCCGGACAAUAUUUCUUAGAUCUUUUCAAAGCUGUGUGAUGAUUUUAAAACCAUAUUUAUAGGAAUAAUUUCCUGUUUUAAAAAUUAAUUUUGGCAUAUAUGGUAUUUAAAAGUAACUUUUCCUGAUUUCAAAAAUAUGAAAAGCAUAUUAAAAGAAAAGUUAUAAAAAUGCAAACACUAUUUAAAAUGAAAUUUUAGACUACAAGGCAAGCCUUGUAAUUAGCUGUAAUUAAAAGUUCAUGUGAAAAUGUGGAUUCACCAGGAUGAUGACUAACUCUGUGCCAUAUAAAUCAUAACUGCUCUCAGCAGCCCAGGCAUAUUCUUCCUCCCUCCCUUUUGUAUCCAACUAUUGAAUUUUAUCUUUCCUUCAAACCCAGUGUAAAAACCAACACCUAAAGUAUCCAAUAGAUUAUAAGAAUCAACUGUUUCCUUUCUAUCUUUUUCCCAAGAAGUCUUAGCAGUCCCCUACCCUCCACUGCUCUCUGUUAUUAAUCUUCCUUUUCCUCAUCUUAGGGCAUAUUGUGAGCUCCAUGGAGAGUGUGCCUUGAUUUGGACAGGGAGGGUCACUGGCUCCUCUGCCAUAAUGAACUGUAGAAUAGUGAGCACUUCACCUCUAUGGAAAUCUCCAUCUUCCUUAUUGCACGGUGUUUCCAACAUAGUAUGGACUCAGUAAGUGUGAUGUGUAUAUGUGUGUUAACAAACAAAAUUACCCUCAGCUGGUCUCCUUCAAAAUUUCUCCAAAAAGAUGUAGAUUCUCUGCUGUCCAUUUAAACAUAUACCUUCUGAUACUCAUUCCAUAUCCUGUGACAUGAAAUUAUGUGGGACUGGUGGUCCUUAUCCCAGAUUCUUGCAGCUGUUAAUAGUACUCAAUUUAAGAUGUAACAGGUACCCCAACCCUAGGUGGGUCAUUUGCUCCACAGCAGAUUUAAACUGACCACAAAGAUUACUUUCAAGUUCUAAUCCUAUAUAUCUCACUAGGAGAAAUUCUGAGCUUUGUGAAUAUCAUCCAAAGAGUGACACAGUGCAAUGAGAAGGGUUUACGCUUUGAACUCUGUCUCUGAAAUUUAACUGUAUUAUCACUUUAAUGAUAAUAAUAGAUGAUUAGAGUCUAAUAUCAAUCCUCAAAACAACUGAAUGCAGGAGGUUCUAUUCCCAAAUUCAAUCCUCAUUUUACCUAUAAAGAAACUGAGGAUCAGAGAGUCAACUUUAUUCCCAUGGUCACACAGCUAGUUCAAUGAUUGUGUCAGGAUUGGAAUCAAGGCAAUGAAACCUAAGUCCCAUCUCUCAACUUUAAUUCUCUGCUGCUUCAUUGAGUUCCUCAGCCUCUCUAUGUCUCAGCUUUCUCAUCUUAAACACCAAGCAAAUAAUUUCCACCUCAUUGGGUUGUUACAGCAGCCCAACAAGCAUUAAUUUCCUUUCACCUGGAACUGUGGAACUUCAUCAAGCUACAUCAAUCUGAAUUAAGAUCUUUGGUAGAAACAAAGGAACAUUGUAUAUAACACCCCAAAUUUCAUCCCCUGUUUUUCCAACUAAUCAUUGGAGUCUCAGUGACCCAGGUGUUCCGUGAUUGCAGGAUUGGGUCUCCAACAGAGGACAAGAUUCAGAGAUGCCUUCCUUGGUCCUUAGCAAUUUAAACACAUUUGCUGUGAAUGAUUGAGGACUUAAAAAAAAAAAAAGCACUUGCCACAUUUUAUUGACAGUAGAUUUGCUCUUUACAAAUAGAAACAAUUGUGUAAAUUUACGUAUGUAUCAACCUGACUUGGAUUAGUUGUGUAUUAACCACUGGUGAGGAAACCAAAGUCUAGAAAGGCAGAAUUGUCUUUAGUUUCACAAAGGAGAGGAAAUUUUGCUCCUGUUUCCCACUGAGAAAAAUAAUAGACAAUGAAAGUACAACUGACCUAUAGCAACAUUGCUAAAUCUUUUCCUUUUUUUCCACAACAAGGUCACCAUCUAGUGACAAUAUUAUGAUGUUGAUUUUUUAAGCUGGUGCAUCAUCAGUUUUCAUUUCUUUUUUCUCUGUUCUUCACAUAUGGUGAGAUAAAGACAAUGAACAUGUACUUUUUGAUGAAUCAUUGCCUUCGAUCCGCUCUCUGACUUUUAUUCAACUAAGACAUCAAUGGAGACACCUCCAUGGGUUUACGGAUGUCUUUUUUCGUUUUGGGGGUUUGGUUUGGUUUAGUUUGGUUUUGGUCCCUCGUGUAAUAGAUGGAGAGACCUUUGUUCUAGUGUCUGCAACUCCCUUUCUGCCUGUCAGGUGAGAAAACUACAGAACUUCUCUGAAAUGUAGUUUCCUUAUUUACAAUCAUUAGUUCCACAAAUACUCAUCAAAUACUUACUAAGUAACACAAGUGUGCUGGGAGGUGAACAAGGAGGAUUAUAAUGCUGCCCUGAGUCCUCCACAAAAUUUUUGCAAGAUGAAAUGCUCCAUCCAGCUCCAAACACCAGUAAUUCUCAUUCUGAAGAGGUCAGGCGAAUGAAAGCUUUCUGUGAACUAAAUGUAAUACAAAUACUGGCAAUGUGGUGAUGUGGACAGAGAUGGCAAUGGCCAUAAGGAGGAGGAUGCUGUGAAGUUUCCAUCCUGUGCUUAGGUGAGGGUUGGUGCUACUCUUUUAGACUUGCUGAGGACUUCAAAGAGGCAAACCAAACCUUUAUGGGCAUGGAAAUAGCUUAGCAAAUGGGAGAAGUUUGGGCCUUGAUC